RNAcentral lists this ribosomal RNA (279 nucleotides) under uncultured bacterium. Its description in RNAcentral is "partial 16S ribosomal RNA". It matches the Rfam family "Bacterial small subunit ribosomal RNA", at positions 506 to 784 of the family's 1533-position model. The record is from RNAcentral.
UGCCAGCCGCCGCGGUAAUACGGAGGGGGUUAGCGUUGUUCGGAAUUACUGGGCGUAAAGCGUACGUAGGCGGAUUAGUCAGUCAGAGGUGAAAUCCCAGGGCUCAACCCUGGAACUGCCUUUGAUACUGCUAGUCUUGAGUUCGAGAGAGGUGAGUGGAAUUCCGAGUGUAGAGGUGAAAUUCGUAGAUAUUCGGAGGAACACCAGUGGCGAAGGCGGCUCAAUGGCUCGAUACUGAAGCUGAGGUAAGAACGUGUGGGGCGCAAACAGGAUUAGAUA